Dermochelys coriacea (leatherback sea turtle) is the source of this 509-nucleotide long non-coding RNA. RefSeq lists it as uncharacterized. The transcript has 2 exons. The record is from RefSeq and is a predicted model, not a curated record. Lineage: Eukaryota; Metazoa; Chordata; Testudines; Dermochelyidae.
GGGGGGGAAAUAAGCAUGGGGAAAUAGUUUUACUUUGUGUAAUGACCAAUUUCUCAACCAUCUCCCUCAGUCUCUAUACAAAUAAAAUACUGCAAUGCAAAAGGUAUGUGGGUUACCCAAGCAGAAAUCUUAGAUUAUUGUUCUUUUGUUUUUCUGGGUGAGAGUCCGGAGGGGAGGAGGAGGACUGAGAAAAGGAGAGGAGAGAAAACUCCCAUGGCUGUAAAAAACCACCACAUUUAAGAAUAUUUUCAAUACGUUCCUGUACUUCUGGGUAAACAAGGAGCACAUGCCAAAUAUAAACAACGUGACAAAGGCAAUGCUCCUCAAAAGGCAAUGACUUUGAAAAUGAUGUGGGCAUGUCUGAACAAUCUGGAUCAGCUGAGUCCGGCUUAGAUAUAAGGAGUUAAGAAUGUCCAUCAUCUGCAAUGUCUACAACCUCAGAGUUAUCUGCUGGUACCACCAGCAGUGCUGCAACUAAACAUCCAUCAGACAAAUUAUCUAUAUCAAAA